UACGGAGGGUGCGAGCGUUACCCGGAUUCACUGGGCGUAAAGCGUGCGCAGGCGGCCCGUUAAGACAGGUGUGAAAUCCCUGGGCUCAACCUAGGAAUUGCGCUUGUGACUGGCGGGCUCGAGUACGGUAGAGGGGGGUGGAAUUCCUGGUGUAGCAGUGAAAUGCGUAGAGAUCAGGAGGAACACCGAUGGCGAAGGCAGCCCCCUGGGCCUGUACUGACGCUCAUGCACGAAAGCGUGGGGAGCAAACAGG
Molecule: ribosomal RNA, 253 nt
Filed under: uncultured microorganism
Description: partial 16S ribosomal RNA
Rfam family: Bacterial small subunit ribosomal RNA
Source: RNAcentral